CCUUCUUUAUUUUAAUUCUUUCUCAGAAAAGUCGACAGAGACAGGACUCCUUGAAGCAAAGGUUUGUGCAGCCAAGGCCAGUUACCAUGGUUGCCUUGAUGGUGUCUGCUCCUUGUGUGUUUCCUUUUCACCUCAUCUUCCAGACCUGUUUGGCUUGUGAGUGUUAACUUCUCUGGGUCCUGUUUGCUUCUAGAGCACCUCCUCAUUCAUUCAGAAGCUUUGGUAAGUGUGAAACUGAACCGCAAAGACUGCUGCAGUGAAAAGCCAACAUACUAUCAUUGCACGUAGCAGUUGUUUUGCAAAGCAAGCUUUGGAACCAGCUUUGCGUCCCUUUCAUAGAGGCAGAAUGCCACUUAAUUAAAAAAGCUGUAGCUUUGCUUGUAGCCUCAGGUUAAACAAGUGUUUCUUUAGCAAAAGCCCUAGAGCUGUCCCUACAGCAUCCAGAACAGGGGCCACAAACUGGGCUCCAACAAAUAUAACAAAUAGUGAUAACAUGGCUAUAGAAGCCCACCUGUAUCUACUUCACAUUUAUAUUUAUCUACAGGCAAAUAGCCAAGACAUGUCGUGCCAUAAAUUGCUGUCCUAAAAUGUUUUGCAGAUAAUUUAAAUACUUACAUUUAAAGGUCUGUUUCUUUCCAAACCAAUUUGGGAUAAAACUCUUGUUUCUCAUGAUUCCGUGGCAUUUCACCUACAAAACUCCCUUACUGUUUUAUUACAGUAUAUAAUAUGAUGCAACUAAUGUAACCCAUGUGGUACAGCGUUGUCUGUCUUUAGGAGGGUAAGGGGUUAAGCGAAUAUUCAAAAACCCUUGUUAAAAGAAAUCUUCAUAGCAAGAAAUAUCUUAUUGGUCUGGAUGGGGUGUAUCAGUCACACUUACCCCAUUACUUGAAAUAUGAAGUGAAACACUUUCUCAAAAUUGUGCCUAAAACCAAUCUGAUUUUAAGAGCAGCUUUAAAAUAUGCUUCCUUUCUUUUAUUGGCCUUACUGUUGCAGCCCAUAAACAUUUGGGGUCAAGAGCUCACUUCCUUAAAAUACGCCAAAUGGGAUUAGUCUUGAACUUCUAAGAAGUACAUAUUAGGUGGAAACUGAUGUUUAUUUCGUAUGGAGGGCAUCAUGAUUCUUAUUGGUGGCUUGUUGUUCAUGUAAUUAGACCUAUUUAAAUCACUGUGGGAUUUUUAUUGUCUGUCACACACUGCGGGUUUGCUGCAGUAAAUGCUGAAAGACAAAUGUUAAUAUGGUUAAAAAAAACCCAAACCCCAAACUUAGAAGGGGACUCAAACUCCAGAUGACUCCCCAUCCCAUUUUUUUUCCUCUGAGACCCAGGAAGUCCUUUCUUCCCCAAAAGAAGCACUGGAAUAUAAACACAUCUCACCACAUGAAGUCAGCAUUGCCGAAUCAGUUGGACUUCCAGGAGAUGGGGCCUUGGGGAGCAGUGGCUGGCUGUGCCUUCCUGCCAGUUUCCUGCUCCACUUCUUUCUUAACUUGAGAGGCUGGUUUUACAGGUGAGCAGACUGCAGCACUUACGGGGUGAAGUACAUGCCACAGCUUGGAAAAGUUGCCGGUGCUUCUUCGGAGCACACUGACUCCAGUGCUGAUGCGCUCAGCAGGCAGGAAGCCUCGGAGGACCAAGGAACAGCAGCAAAGAUGUUUGUGAAGGCUCCAGUGCUAGACAAAAUCAAGCAGAUAAUAGGUCCAGUGAAAGUAAGGCAAAAGUCAGCUGAUAAGAAACAUUGCUUAUCCAUAUGCCUGUCUUGGAGGAUGAGGUGAGCAAUUCUAGCAGGAUAGUAUUUUAUCUGUAAAUGUGCUUGUCAGCCUGUUCAGAGCAUAUUUGAACACUGACAUUUUUACAGUGCACAUUUCCCCAAGGAAAUGAAGAUCUGGGCUCCAGUAUUUAGAAGUAUAACUGUGCUUGGUAAUGAAGGGUUAAUUCAGCUUCUGCCUUUCUUGAAUGUGCAUUUCUUUCACUGGGGAGGCCAAGUGUUUAGAACCCUCCCACACCGGAAGCAAAAUUAUGCUCAGCAUGUCUAAACAUGUUUGUUGCUCACAGGGUUUUAACUUUAUUUCCUUGAACAGUAGCAGCAGAGACAUUGUGUCUGGGAACCACGUUAGAAGAACAGGAAAAUGACUGGUCCUGUCCAUUUCACAAAUGCAGGCGUAUUUGGAGGUCCUGCCAAAAGAAAAUGGUGGUCAUUGACUUGUUUUGUUUUCUAGCUCACAGCUUCAUUCAGAAAAUACAACCAUCUCUCAUUAGCCCCGUAAAGUAGAUCUAUACUGCCUGCAGACGAGUAUGUUUCAGAAAGGUUCCCUGAUACCACCAAAUUUGUGUGCAAGAGGGGAACUCUCUCACCCAUUGUUUCAGUAUGUAAUGCAACACAAUGAACCAGUUCUCAGAAAAAUAAUUCCUCUUCGUCCUGUGAGUAAAAUCCUCUGGGACUUGCUUCUCUGCUGCCACAGGCUUUGCAGAGGCACUUACACCUGUGCAAACCAGCGAAAAAAAUAGUGGUUAAAUAUGCUGGAAUGGCUUUAGGAACAUCUCCAUGCAGCUUGCACAGAAGAAAAUGAUGGUGCAGGACUGGAAAAUCAAGGUUUGUUUAUUGAAAGCAGUCCCACUCCCAGGGUCAGGCCUGUGGUUUGGAAGAUGAUACAGACAAGGUCUCAGAUGAAAAACAGGUUGUGCUUGUACUUUUGAAAUCUUCAUUAUAAUGUGUUCUUGUGAGGAUUAAUGUUCUGUAGAAAGUCUUCUGGUUUAUACAGCUAAUCUGAUGCUUGCCAAAUCAUAGAAGAAAUUGUAUAUGAAAAUUAAUUUUGUUCCUCGUUGUUCUAUUUACUUUGGAGGUCACUGCUCCUUUCCUCUUUAUGCAAUCUAAGCAAAACCCACCAGAGCAGAGCUUUGAUCUCCAGGCAAUCACAAACCUCAUUAAACUUGACAGGCACGCUGGCCGUGCUUUGUUUAGGAAGGAGCAGUUCAAUUCCUUUAUGGCAUAAGACUGCUGAAGACUGGAAACCACUGCCGAUGGCACAGGGGUGUGUGGCCAAGCACUGGGACCAGCGGGCUCAUAUGAGCAAGCACUAAUUUGGGGAAAGUCAGAGCCAUUUCUCGAGGGACUGCUCGCAGAUGCAGCAGCAAGAGCACAGAUUGGUUGCAGCUGUGUUUGCCUGUGUGCAUGUCCGGGGCCGGAAACACCACACGAGAGCCAGCAGACAGUGGGAGAAGCAGUGGUGUAUGGCCCUGAGAAAAAGCCAAGGGACAGCUUCUUCUGGGCAAGAAUCCUUGCUAGAGCAGCAAACUUGGACUGCCGCGCAGCACUCCCUCCCAUUUGCUUCCUCUGCAUGCAAGGAAAUGGGACAUGGCUGUACAUUCUUUGUAAAUAAAUAGGAUUACGCUAAAGAGCUAACUGAAUUCAUCAUUGAUCCCCCCUCCCACUCCUCCAAAUAAAACAUGGCAAAGUGCUGAAUAUUA
Long non-coding RNA from Pezoporus occidentalis (night parrot), 3460 nucleotides. RefSeq lists it as uncharacterized. The record is from RefSeq and is a predicted model, not a curated record. NCBI's taxonomy places the organism in Eukaryota, Metazoa, Chordata, Aves, Psittaciformes, Psittacidae. The transcript is spliced from 2 exons.